RNAcentral lists this ribosomal RNA (481 nucleotides) under uncultured bacterium. RNAcentral describes it as "partial 16S ribosomal RNA". It matches the Rfam family "Bacterial small subunit ribosomal RNA", at positions 28 to 507 of the family's 1533-position model. The record is from RNAcentral.
GAUGAACGCUGGCGGCGUGCUUAACACAUGCAAGUCGAACGAAGCAUUUGCGACAGAUUUUUUCGGAAUGAAGUUGCUUAUGACUGAGUGGCGGACGGGUGAGUAACGCGUGGGUAACCUGCCUUGUACUGGGGGAUAGCAGCUGGAAACGGCUGGUAAUACCGCAUAAGCGCACAAUGUUGCAUGACAUGGUGUGAAAAACUCCGGUGGUAUAAGAUGGACCCGCGUCUGAUUAGCUAGUUGGUGAGAUAACAGCCCUCCAAGGCGACGAUCAGUAGCCGACCUGAGAGGGUGACCGGCCACAUUGGGACUGAGACACGGCCCAGACUCCUACGGGAGGCAGCAGUGGGGAAUAUUGCACAAUGGAGGAAACUCUGAUGCAGCGACGCCGCGUGAGUGAAGAAGUAAUUCGUUAUGUAAAGCUCUAUCAGCAGGGAAGAUAGUGACGGUACCUGACUAAGAAGCUCCGGCUAAAUACGUG